This 665-nucleotide ribosomal RNA is filed under the name uncultured Actinomycetes bacterium. RNAcentral's name for it is "bacterial SSU rRNA". It matches the Rfam family "Bacterial small subunit ribosomal RNA", at positions 797 to 1461 of the family's 1533-position model. The record is from RNAcentral. Lineage: Bacteria; Bacillati; Actinomycetota; Actinomycetes.
ACGCCGUAAACGGUGGGCGCUAGUUGUGCGAACCUUCCACGGUUUGUGCGACGCAGCUAACGCAUUAAGCGCCCCGCCUGGGGAGUACGGUCGCAAGACUAAAACUCAAAGGAAUUGACGGGGGCCCGCACAAGCGGCGGAGCAUGCGGAUUAAUUCGAUGCAACGCGAAGAACCUUACCAAGGCUUGACAUAUAGAGGAAACGUGCAGAAAUGUACGCCCCGCAAGGUCUCUAUACAGGUGGUGCAUGGUUGUCGUCAGCUCGUGUCGUGAGAUGUUGGGUUAAGUCCCGCAACGAGCGCAACCCUCGUCCUAUGUUGCCAGCACGUAAUGGUGGGAACUCAUGGGAGACUGCCGGGGUCAACUCGGAGGAAGGUGGGGAUGACGUCAAAUCAUCAUGCCCCUUAUGUCUUGGGCUUCACGCAUGCUACAAUGGCCGGUACAGAGGGCUGCAAUACCGCAAGGUGGAGCGAAUCCCAAAAAGCCGGUCUCAGUUCGGAUUGGGGUCUGCAACUCGACCCCAUGAAGUCGGAGUCGCUAGUAAUCGCAGAUCAGCAACGCUGCGGUGAAUACGUUCCCGGGCCUUGUACACACCGCCCGUCAAGUCACGAAAGUCGGUAACACCACGAAGCCGGUGGCCUAACCGUAAGGAAGGAGCCGUCGAAG